GCAAGGCAUAGUGGUAUGUGCCUGUAGUUCCAGCUACUAGGGAGGCUGAGCCAGGAGAAUCAUUUAAGCCCAGGAGUUUGAGAUUAGCUUGGGCAACAGAGAGAGAGACUGUCUCUU
RNAcentral lists this small RNA (117 nucleotides) under Marmota monax (woodchuck). Lineage: Eukaryota; Metazoa; Chordata; Mammalia; Rodentia; Sciuridae. The record is from RNAcentral.